UACGGAGGGUGCAAGCGUUAAUCGGAAUUACUGGGCGUAAAGCGUGCGCAGGCGGUUUGUUAAGUCUGCUGUGAAAUCCCCGAGCUCAACUUGGGAAUUGCAGUGGAUACUGGCAAGCUGGAGUACGGUAGAGGAAGGUGGAAUUCCCGGUGUAGCAGUGAAAUGCGCAGAUAUCAGGAGGAACACCGAUUGCGAAGGCAGCUCGCUGGAACGUAACUGACGCUGAGACGCGAAAGCGUGGGGAGCAAACAGG
This 253-nucleotide ribosomal RNA is filed under the name uncultured bacterium. RNAcentral describes it as "partial 16S ribosomal RNA". It matches the Rfam family "Bacterial small subunit ribosomal RNA", at positions 524 to 776 of the family's 1533-position model. The record is from RNAcentral.